RNAcentral lists this transfer RNA (73 nucleotides) under Trichonephila inaurata madagascariensis. It matches the Rfam family "tRNA". Rfam says of the family: Transfer RNA (tRNA) molecules are approximately 80 nucleotides in length. Their secondary structure includes four short double-helical elements and three loops (D, anti-codon, and T loops). The record is from Rfam by way of RNAcentral. Lineage: Eukaryota; Metazoa; Arthropoda; Arachnida; Araneae; Nephilidae.
GGUUCCGUAGUGUAGUGGUUAUCACGUUCGCUUCACACGCGAAAGGUCUCCGGUUUGAUCCCGGACGGAACCA